This 253-nucleotide ribosomal RNA is filed under the name uncultured bacterium. Its description in RNAcentral is "partial 16S ribosomal RNA". It matches the Rfam family "Bacterial small subunit ribosomal RNA", at positions 524 to 776 of the family's 1533-position model. The record is from RNAcentral.
GACAGAGGUGCCAAGCGUUAGGCGGAAUCACUGGGCUUAAAGCGUGUGUAGGUGGAUUUGUAAGUACCUUGUGAAAUCCCAUGGCUCAACCAUGGAACUGCUCGGUAUACUGCGAAUCUUGAGCCACUUAGGGGCUACCGGAACAAAUGGUGGAGCGGUGAAAUGCGUAGAUAUCAGGAGGAACACCGGUGGCGAAGGCGGAUCUCUGGGCCUGUUCUGACGCUGAGGCGCGAAAGCUAGGGGAGCGAACAGG